CCUACGGGUGGCUGCAGUGAGGAAUAUUGCGCAAUGGGCGAAAGCCUGAUGCAGCGACGCCGCGUGAGGGAUGAAGGUCUUCGGAUCGUAAACCUCUGUCAGCAGGGAAGAACGGUCUAUGUGUUAAUCAGCAGUGAAUUGACGGUACCUGCAAAGGAAGCACCGGCUAACUCCGUGCCAGCAGCCGCGGUAAUACGGAGGGUGCGAGCGUUAAUCGGAAUUACUGGGCGUAAAGCGCUCGUAGGCGGUAUGUCAAGUCAAGGGUGAAAUCCCCGGGCUCAACGUGGGAACUGCCUUUGAAACUGGAAGGCUGGAGUGUGGGAGAGGGGAGUGGAAUUCCAGGUGGAGUGGUGAAAUGCGUAGAUAUCUGGAGGAACAUCAGUGGCGAAGGCGGCUACCUGGAACAUAACUGACGCUGAGGGGCGAAAGCGUGGGGAGCAAACAGGAUUAGAUACCCGAGUAGUC
RNAcentral lists this ribosomal RNA (465 nucleotides) under uncultured bacterium. Its description in RNAcentral is "partial 16S ribosomal RNA". It matches the Rfam family "Bacterial small subunit ribosomal RNA", at positions 338 to 795 of the family's 1533-position model. The record is from RNAcentral.